Long non-coding RNA from Mangifera indica (mango), 1382 nucleotides. RefSeq lists it as uncharacterized. Lineage: Eukaryota; Viridiplantae; Streptophyta; Magnoliopsida; Sapindales; Anacardiaceae. The transcript is spliced from 2 exons. The record is from RefSeq and is a predicted model, not a curated record.
UAAUAAAUACAACAUAAAAUUGCAUCUUUUUCAUUUUUAAAAUUACUUUCAGAAAAUUAUUAUGGAAAACGUUUUUCUUGUUUCCCUGAUUUUGGAUAAAACAAAACCAUUCCGUUUCCUGCGUUUUACUUUUAUAUCAAAAAGCAGCAUUUUCAUCUGUCUUCUUCCUUAGCUCAGCAAAAGCUGAGUGAAAUUGUGUGUGUGCACGCACGCGCAUGUAUGGAUGAUUUUGCAAAUAUAUUUGUUUUUCCCUUUGAAAUGUGAAUUAACUUGAUUGAUAAAUAAUGUCGUUGCCAACUUAGAGUAUUGCAGGUCAUAGAACAAAGAUCAUAGAACAAGAUUGACCUACAUUAUAGACUGAUAGAGGUAGACAUGCUUUGCUGAAAUAAACACAUUUGUUGAUCUACUACACCUGAAUUCUUAAGGAAGAAGCUUGCCUGCCCCAAUGUGCAACAGUGAUAAUUUAGAUUAUGUUAAAAUCCAUGCUUCUCGGCUGUUCUCAAAUAUUGGAUAAUUAAUAAGAAAAAUGUUAUUUUAUAUUUGAAAGUAUAUGUGUAACACCAAUAUACAGUUAGUGGAUUUGUCUCCAUUGUGGAAUGCUUAUGCUUCAGUUGAUAUUCACAGUAUCUUCUAUGUCUCUUUAUAUGUUUUCAACAUUUUAGAAGAAAAUAGCCUUCUAUGAUGUUGAUGAUGGUGAAGAAAAAGCUGAAUGGACCUCAAGGAACGAGGGCAUCUUUAUCCGUAUAUAGCAUGAACAUACCAAAAUGGGUGAACUACAAACAUUGACAUUUUCUAGAAAGACAUGGAAUAUGAUAUGUGGUGAAUCAUUUGCUGAAUCCAAUAGGCGAUAUACUGUCCUACAACUUAAGUCAAAGUUCAAUCGCCUGUGGAAGAAACAUCGUGAAUUUACUGGCUUAAUUAAUCAUACUGGUUUCAAACGGGAUCCAAAUUCAAACAAUGCCUGCAACAACUGAUGCUUGGGAAGAGUAUAUUAAUUCUGAUGUGCAUGUUAAUCUCUGUGAGGAUGAUGGUGAAACAGAUCCACAGGUUGGUGACAGCAAGGGGAAAAGGGCUCAUCGUUUCUUUGACCAACCGCGCCGUCUGAUCAGUCAAUGGAAAACUACUUGGAUAUGUGUACUGAAGUUAUGAGAAGCAAGUUAGAGACACGCAAGGCCAAAGCUCAAGAGUCAGAUCAGUUUUCAACUGAGUAGUGUCUGCAGAUUGUUGAGGCCAUGGGGGUUGACAAUGAUACAUUCAUAAAGUUUGUGGAGAAAAAGGUUGAUAUUGCUCAUCUCGGUUAGAACGUACAAACUUAGUCUAUUUAUAUUUCAAGUUUUUAAAACACCUUGUAUUUUAUUUCAUCUAAUUUUUUUUUAACUGGA